AGCGCAGGCGGGAAGACAAGUUGGAAGUGAAAUCCAUGGGCUCAACCCAUGAACUGCUUUCAAAACUGUUUUUCUUGAGUAGUGCAGAGGUAGGCGGAAUUCCCGGUGUAGCGGUGGAAUGCGUAGAUAUCGGGAGGAACACCAGUGGCGAAGGCGGCUUACUGGACUGCAACUGACGUUGAGGCUCGAAAGUGUGGGUAGCAAAC
This 206-nucleotide ribosomal RNA is filed under the name uncultured bacterium. RNAcentral describes it as "partial 16S ribosomal RNA". It matches the Rfam family "Bacterial small subunit ribosomal RNA", at positions 568 to 773 of the family's 1533-position model. The record is from RNAcentral.